Molecule: unclassified non-coding RNA, 88 nt
Filed under: Pseudomonas sp. 7SR1
Lineage: Bacteria; Pseudomonadati; Pseudomonadota; Gammaproteobacteria; Pseudomonadales; Pseudomonadaceae
Source: RNAcentral
GGUGGGAGCGAGCCUGCUCGCGAUGGGGUAGGGCAUUCAAUGUUGAAUUGACUGUCAAGCUGCCAUCGCGAGCAGGCUCGCUGCCAUA